UUUAUUUUUUACCGCAAAAAAAAGGGAAAUUUUUUUUUUGACGCAAGAAUUUUUUUUAUUAUGAACACGAUCCAUUAUGUUUUCUUCAACCUUCCAAACCUUCUAUCGUCUUCUUCCUUUGCUUCUUCCUUCUUUCAAGUGCUUCUUCUCCUUGCUUGUUCGGCGUCUUUUAUUGCUUCAUCAAUCUUUGCAUUACUUGUUUAGAAAAUAAAUUGUUAAAUAGAACUUAGGUGCUUCUCUAUCUCUCUUUUCGAUUGUUUGCUUUCAUCAAAACUGGACUCGGAAAACAAGAAAUUGAAACCUGGUCAUCUUGGACACAUCAAAUCGAAACCGAAUUCACGAAAUCAAAACCGGACGAAAUUGAAACUAAAGUCAAAACCGAAAUCGAAUGAAAUUGUGGCGGNNNNNNNNNNNNNNNNNNNNNNNNNNNNNUUUGGAUGAAACUGACUUUGUUAAGUUGCCGGACUUUGUUUGAAAUUGGUAGUGAUGAAGUUGUUGGUGAUAGUGAUGAAGAUGAUGUUCAUCAUUUUCUAACAAUUAAUUUUGAUUUGUUGUUGUUCUGGUUGUUGUUGUUGAAGAUGAAGAUAUGGGUUUUGUAGAUGAAGAUGAAAG
Molecule: long non-coding RNA, 612 nt
Filed under: Trifolium pratense (red clover)
Lineage: Eukaryota; Viridiplantae; Streptophyta; Magnoliopsida; Fabales; Fabaceae
Description: long non-coding RNA (TPRA_LNC007636)
Source: RNAcentral